GUCUCUGAGUGGUACAGUUAACACACCUGACUGCUAACCAGAAGGUUGGAGGUUCAAGUCCACCCAGAGACG
Molecule: transfer RNA, 72 nt
Filed under: Loxodonta africana (African savanna elephant)
Lineage: Eukaryota; Metazoa; Chordata; Mammalia; Proboscidea; Elephantidae
Rfam family: tRNA
About the family: Transfer RNA (tRNA) molecules are approximately 80 nucleotides in length. Their secondary structure includes four short double-helical elements and three loops (D, anti-codon, and T loops). Further hydrogen bonds mediate the characteristic L-shaped molecular structure. tRNAs have two regions of fundamental functional importance: the anti-codon, which is responsible for specific mRNA codon recognition, and the 3' end, to which the tRNAs corresponding amino acid is attached (by aminoacyl-tRNA synthetases). tRNAs cope with the degeneracy of the genetic code in two manners: having more than one tRNA (with a specific anti-codon) for a particular amino acid; and 'wobble' base-pairing, i.e. permitting non-standard base-pairing at the 3rd anti-codon position.
Source: Rfam by way of RNAcentral